AAGAUAUAUUGUUUAUUGGAAGCCUCAUGAGAUGAAAACAUAUUUUUAUAUAGAAAUAACAAAACAAAAUGGAAUGUGAAAUAUAACAACGAAAUACCAAAUUUAACUAAAAUCAUAUAAUGCAUAAAAUAGAACAGUAUGAUGAAAUAGUAAAUUACUGAUAGUAAAACUACUUAAAUAGGUUAUUCAUGAUAAAUUAAAGAUAAAAUGUUAGAACAUGAUAUAAAUAUACUCAAUCAAGAACAGAUAUGCAAAAUUAUCAUAAAGAAAGAGUUUAAAUGAGGUAAUGUUAAACAUCAAGGGAGAUAAUGUGUUGUUCAACAACAGUUACUUCCCUUGCACUUUUAAAUGAAUUUGUUCAUUGCUUUACAUAUGAUACAAAGCCCAUUAUUUUUCUUAUAGUCUAAACUACAAAAAAGUAUAUAUCAAAAUACUAAUAUUAUUAAUUUAUACUAAUUUCAACUACUUGAGCAAAUGUCAAGGUAUCCAAGAUAGGUUCCCUUUUCAGUCUGAAUAAAUAACUAUUUGUUCAUACAAUGAUUUUUUUCUGUCUUUUCUGUGGUUAAAAAAAACUCAGGGUUUUAUUUGUUUUUUUGGCAAUAAUAAUAAAAAAUUACAAACAUCUCAAGCCUAUAAUUCUUAUGGAUAUAAUUGAAAAGUAUUUGGCCUAUGAGCUCAUGUCGUCUGCUCUUUCAAACAAGAAAUGAAUUCAAAACCUAAGAGAUAUCAGGUUAAGCAAGAGUAGCCUACCUUUAUAUGUGAACACAUGCUUACAUAUUAAUGUGUUAGCUCUCUUACGAAAUGAUACAUUUAAUAUGUUAAAUGUAUCAUGAAUACAAUAAUUUUUCUUACCAGAAAUACUUCAUGUGCCCCUUGAUAUCAUUCUGUCAUCACAAAUAACUCAUAAAAUGAAUAAUAUAAAUAAAAAUAAAUAUAUCUUUAAAUAAUUAAAAAAAAUAUUACACAACCAUUUUAUAAGUUAGUAAAAUUACACAAAUUUUUCACACAUGCUUUCUAUGAAGAAUACAAAUAAAAAAUAUGAAAAAAACCAAACAUCCAUCUGAGAAGACAAUCAUUGAAGCAAAUAAUGUCUACCAAUACAUAUACUUGGAUAUAUAAAGACUGCUAUUUCUCUAAAAAAAAAUAUACAUUUCUGCUUUCAUCAAUCAAUUUUCUAAUGUGUGGAGCACUCUUCAAAAACUAUAUAUAUAUUAUCUUUAAUAAAUAACUUGAUUAACGGUAUCUUAAAAUAUUCUCUGAAAACUCUGUUUUGAAAUGUAAAUUAUAAAUGUAAUCAAGUUACUAAGAUACUAUAGAUAUCCCAGACACCAUAAAAGUGUUUUAAAAUCAUCAUCUUAUAAGGGUUUAUUACUACACAGUAGUAUCACUGAGAAGAAACAUCAAAAUCAUGAAAAAUAAAAUCUAUAGCAGUUAACUUCAUUAUUUUGGGUUGAUUUCAUGGGUACAGGGGAACUAUGGGUUUCAAUGUUAAGGAAAUUACAAAUUUUUGUGUUUAGGAAUACAUGAAGACUUUUUCAAAACCAUGGAAUUAAAUAUCCUCAAUGAUGCAAGUUUUCCUAAAUCCAUGCAAAUUGGUAUGUAACCACGAAAAUAAUUGAAUUCACAGUAAAUACAAAUUCUUAACAAAUUAACUUUCAACGGUAUAAACAUUACAGUUUCAGUGUUCAUGGUUGGAGCCACAAACAUCCUUUUCACUCUAAAUCUGCAUUUAGAUGAAUGCAGACAGUAAUGUGAAAUGUGUAGGCUGAUGGAAUUGAGAGUUUAUCUUUUCUUCAGGUGAUUUGACUAUUGUACUAAAAUGGGUGAUAAAACUGUUUAAAGCAUUUAUAUUCGUUGUGAUUUUGUACAUGUGUAUCCAAAAAUUCAAUUUCUGUUAUAGCUUAUAAAAUGCAAUACUGCAGCACCUAUGAACAAUGAUAACUAUUUACACACUGAUUGAAGACACACAAAAAAAUCUGAGUAUCAAAUAAUUACAUUUAAGGUGGUACCUAACACUACAGGGAGAUAACUCUGUAAAGUCAGCUAAACGUUUUAAUUACGUUGAGUUGUAAAAGGAAUAUUAAGCUUCUCAAUGAUCAAAAUUGGUGUUUGUCAAAUUGCUAUAUAACCAGUAUAAUUUUUCUGACAAAACGGUUAAUUCAAAAAAAAAUUAAUUUUUAUAUUUUUAUUAAAGUUUCAAAGUAAAUACUUUGACAAAAUUUUAUGAAAAUUAAACGAGCCAAAUUAAUUUUAGUGAAAGUGUUGGGUACCACCUUAAGCUUUCCCAAUUCUGGCUAAAUCUUUUUAAACAUCUUUUAAUUUUAUAUUACUCUUACAAAUGUAUUUUAGACUUAAAAGGGUACAGAUCUAGAUCACCUAAGGGAAUCAACUACCCUGAAAUUUCUUGAGUCAAGGAAUUUGUCAAAUAACAGAAAAGUUUGUUUGCAUUUAAUCAAAGGACAAAAUUAGGGUUAGUUGACACCUCCCCAGACCAAUUUGAAAUAUAUGAUUUAUACAAUUAUUGUUAUUAUAUAUUUGAGUAUAUACAUGUACCGGGUAGUAUUAAUUAAUUGUUUGACAUGGGCUUGUCUAAAACAAAGUUAACCUGACUGCACUAUGUUGUACAAAACCUCAACCGUAGAGUUUAGGCCUGGAAGAUAUAGCUAUAAAGCCAAUGAAAAUAGGUUUUUGAUAGCAUUUUAUGCAAUCAUUUUCCCAAAAAAUAUGAAACACUGAUCAAAAUAAUAAAAAUCAAUACAAUAAAAUAAUAAUAUGUUUAUACAAAGUUCCAACUGCAAAUUCUGGAUUAACAUAUGCAUGCAAGUACAUAUUCGGGGGUUCUAUUUAUGCAAAUGAUAUACAUGAUAUUUCCAACAGAUUACAUUUUUACAUUUUGAGCUUUUAAUACUGUCUGAUCUAUAAAAUAGUACAUGUACUAUAAAAAAAAAUAUAAAAAUACUUAUUGACAUUAAAAUUGUUUUCUCCAAAUAGGGUUUUGUUCAAAUUGUAAAUAACAUUGUUAAAUGUACAAAUAUUUUAUGGUAUAAACACAAACAAUAAUAAUAUUCAGGUACAGUCAUGACAGUAGGAAUCGCUUUCACACAUUUUCUAUCAUAUACAUGCACUAUCCAAUUGAUAAAAGUUGACAAAUUCACAAAACUGGCUUUCAGGAAAAUGAUAUGUUGACAUGGUACAAUAUGCAUAACUAAUAAUAUUUCAUAUUUAUCUAUUGAACUUUUAAGUGGAAUGUACAUGUAUGACUGAAUAACAGAAUUUUAGAUUAACUAAUCAAGUACAAAAAAAUGUAGCAUUUCUAUAAUUUGUAGAUCACCUAGAUGAACUAGUGUCUAUGUUCCGGACCAUAUGAGUAUUUGGACCAUACGCGUAUGGUCAUGACCAUAUGGGUAUAUACUCAUAUGGUCCGACCAUACGCGUAUGGUCCGACCGUACGCGUAUGGUCGGAGUAAUUGACACUCUGUAACAGUUUACUUUUAAUACUUCUAAACUCUUCAUAUGGUAUGACCGUUCAUUAAAAAGACGCUAUCAUAUAGGUAAUGUUAUUAUUAUAUUAUAAUGAAAAGAUUAGCUAAAUAAAAAUUAGAAGUUUCACAUAUUUAAUUUUACUUACUUGUCAAAACUAUAAUAAACACAUUUUAUACCGAUGGUCAUAAAGAAAACCUUACACAAUGGUACAACUGACUAUAUUCAGUAUGGUGAUGCAGCAUCUUACAUCCUCAAACUUGGAAACUAAAUUAACCUUGAAAAUUCAAAUGUGUAUAUCAGUGCCUUGUACUUGUAUGAUAUUAGUCUUUAUAUAAAUUUAUUCCUUAAGAUAUGAAAUGUUCAUAUCCAAUUUGUCAUCUCUAAUAAGACUUUAUUUACAAAAUAUAACACAUGAGUAAAAAAAAAAACACUUUCAGAAAAAAAAGAGCAACUAUAAAAAGUGGGACACCAAAAAUUGAAAAAAAUAUCUUUCCUUUAAAAAGUAUUUCAUGGUAGAAUUUGACAUCAGAAUAAAAAAAUGUCAACUUAUUGCAAUACAAAGAAAACAUAACUUAAUUACCAUUGUUUACAGAAGCUCCCAUUUCGCCUUAAAUAAUUCUUGUGUACCUGAAAAUUUGUACUAAGGCAAACUGGGAUUAAUUUUAUAUAUACAUUUUGACAACUAAGGCGAAAUGAGAAUAAGCCCUGAUUUGUUAUUACGAAUGAUGGCAAUAUGUCGACUUAAAAAAAUUCAUUCCAAAAAAUUCAUUAUGAACUGUUACACAAGAAGUCACUGGAAAGUAAAAAUAAUACAUUGUCAUGUAACCAUCAUUGUUUUUUUAGAUAAAGUUUUUGUAUUAUUGAAACUUAUAUAAUUUAAUUUUAAAAAAAUACCUAUAUGGUCCAAAUACUCAUAUGGUCCGGCCCGUUAAUAAACAAACGAGUAUAUACUUAUAUGGUCCGACCAUACGCGUAUGGUCCAAAUACUCAUAUGGUCCUGAACAUCUACAUGUAGAUGGGGUAAGAUAACUUCUAGAGGGUUAAUUGAAAAAGAAGUACUUUCAGAGGAGAAUAUUUAGUAUGUAAGAAUCAUAAAAGAGAUAUUUACAUUACGUUCCAUAAAAUAGUAUAUGUUUGUCUUUUUUUAAAUUACACAAGUAAUUUAGUUUAUAAAUUUUGAUCUAUUGUACAUGUAUAAUUCAUGAUAAUUCAAAAUGUAUUGGAGAAAACAGUUAAAAAAUUGGGGAAUCAGUGAUUCAAAAAGAUGUGCCACUGAUCUUAGUCAUCUAAGAGGUUUAAGAUUUGAAAUGCAUACUAGUUAGGAAUAGUUUAAAUAAAGUGUGAUUAAAAAUGUGGCAAAAUCUUAACUUAUUCCCAUGACUUUAUCGAUACAAUAAGAUAUAAAGUAAGUUUUAAUAUACAGGCAAAAUAUGUCAGUAAUUCAAAAGAAUCAAUAAAUUAAGAAUACAAUAACAAGUUUGAUAUGCAAAAGUAUCAUUACUAACAGCCUUCACCAUUUUAUAUGUAGUUUUACAAUGCUGUAACAGAUACAAAAUAUAAAAGUUAAAAAAAAAAGCACCAAUUUACAGUUUGGUUUUUGUAAACACUGAGAUUUUGGCUUAGCUUUCAGCUAGAAUAGCACUAUUUAGUGACAGAUAAUACUGGUUUAUUUUAAACAAAUGUGCAUUUAAAAAUGGAGAUUACAAACAUUUCCAAAUCACAUGCUCUUUAUAUAUGAUAAAUAACGUUGAAAAAUAUAAUACUAGUUGAGAGUAUAUUCUACAGAUUUAUAUGUAUUUUGCUGCAGUGCUUUUUUACACAAGAUAUGAUUGAAUCAUCCUUUCCUUUUUAUUUUUGGAAGAACUACUGUAAAUUCAGAAAUAUUUAUGGCAUUUUUUAUUGUGAUCUUGUCAUUUUAGACUUAAAUGUGAAUUUAAUUUUUGUGAUAUUGAGAAAA
This 5440-nucleotide long non-coding RNA is filed under the name Mytilus galloprovincialis (Mediterranean mussel). Lineage: Eukaryota; Metazoa; Mollusca; Bivalvia; Mytilida; Mytilidae. The record is from RNAcentral.